UGGAUCACGGCGGUGUACGCUCCCCAAGGAGACAUGCCUAAAACUUAGUUCUUGCAGGAGCUUGGCAACCGGCGCUCGGUCUGUCCUGGGCCGUGGCUCAUUAUGGGAGACUUUAACAUGAUUUUGCGUGCAUGCAAGAAGAACAAUGCAAACAUCAAUAGGGCUAUGAUGUCGAAGUUUCAGAGCUUUGUCGAUGAUCAUGAACUAAAGGAGCUCUACAUGCACGGCCGCAUGUACACUUGGUCGAAUGAGAGGGAUACACCGACUCUAACCAAGAUUGACAGAAUCCUCGUGUCGGUUGACUGGGACCUGGGUCAUCCCGACAAGAUGCUUCAAGCGCUGUCAUCGAGCGUCUCCGACCACGCGCCUUUGCAUCUAACCACUAGUAUGCACUGUUGCCCAAAGAAUAGAUUUAGAUUCGAGCUUUAG
Molecule: ribosomal RNA, 429 nt
Filed under: Triticum aestivum (bread wheat)
Lineage: Eukaryota; Viridiplantae; Streptophyta; Magnoliopsida; Poales; Poaceae
Description: partial small subunit ribosomal RNA
Source: RNAcentral